UUCCUCAUGUUUCCUGAUCCUGUCCUGGGUCUGUAGUCAUAGUUCUGGAAAUUUCUCUUGGGUCCCAGACUAGGGGGUUCCUCUAAGAUCUCAUGGCCCUGCUUCCUCCCAGUCCCCUCACAGGACAUUUUCUUCCCACAGGUGAGAAAGGAGGGAGCUACUCUCAGGCUGCAUGUAAGUGGUGGGGGUGGGAGCGUGGAGGAGCUCACCCACCCCAUAAUUCCUCCUGUCCCACGUCUCCUGUGGGCUCUGACCGGGUCCUGUUUUUGUUCUGCCCCAGGCAGCGACACUACCCAGGGCUCUGAUGUGUCUCUCACGGCUUGAAAAGCCUGAGACAGCUGCCUGUGUGGGACUGAGAUGCAGGAUUUCUUCACGCCUCCCUUUUGUGACUUCAAGAGACUCUGGCAUCUCUUUCUGCGAAGGCAUCUGAAUGUGUCUGCAUCCCUGUUAGCAUAAUGUGAGGAGGUGAAGAGACAGCCCACUCCCGUGUCCACCGUGACCCCUGUUCCCAUGCUGACCUGUGUUUCCUCCCCAGUCAUCCUUCCUGUUCCAGAGAGAUGGGGCUGGAUGUCUCCAUCUCUGUCUCAACUUCAUGUGCACUGAGCUGCAACUUCUUACUUCCCUACUGAAAAUAUGAAUCUGAAUAUAAAUUUGUUUUCUCAAAUAUUUGCUAUGAGAGGUUGACGGGUUAAUUAAAUAAGUCAAUUCCUAGAAUUUCAGAGAGCAAUUAAAGACCUGAGAACCUUCCAGAA
This 752-nucleotide small RNA is filed under the name Pongo abelii (Sumatran orangutan). RNAcentral's name for it is "retained intron". The record is from RNAcentral. Lineage: Eukaryota; Metazoa; Chordata; Mammalia; Primates; Hominidae.